This 272-nucleotide RNase P RNA is filed under the name Candidatus Pelagibacter sp. RNAcentral describes it as "partial RNase P RNA component class A". It matches the Rfam family "Bacterial RNase P class A", at positions 91 to 367 of the family's 367-position model. From Rfam's summary of the family: Ribonuclease P (RNase P) is a ubiquitous endoribonuclease, found in archaea, bacteria and eukarya as well as chloroplasts and mitochondria. Lineage: Bacteria; Pseudomonadati; Pseudomonadota; Alphaproteobacteria; Candidatus Pelagibacterales; Candidatus Pelagibacteraceae. The record is from RNAcentral.
GGGGUAACCCUAGGGAUAGUGCCACAGAAAAUAAACCGCCAUAACAUGGCAAGGGUGAAAAGGUGUGGUAAGAGCACACCGGUUCUAUUGGUAACAAUGAACGCUGGAAAACCCCACUGGGAGCAAGACUAAGUAGAGAUGACAUUGUUGCAAAACUAAAAGCCAUCCUUGGCUAGUCAUCAGGGUUAGUUGCUUGAGCUUAAGAGCGAUCUUAAGCCUAGACAAAUGAUAGGUUUAAAUGACAGAACCCGGCUUAUAGUUUAUCUGGCAAA